GCCGGCCGAAGGGGAGAACAAGAGCGUCUCUCCAUGAAGCCGAGGAUGGCUCUGGGGACCUGGUCGGCCUCUUCCCUCAUCUGGAGAUGGAGCCCAUGACCAGCACUGAGAGGAGCUUCGUGGUGAGGCAGCGCGUUUUCCUGGUGAGGA
Gadus chalcogrammus (walleye pollock) is the source of this 150-nucleotide long non-coding RNA. RefSeq lists it as uncharacterized. The transcript has 3 exons. NCBI's taxonomy places the organism in Eukaryota, Metazoa, Chordata, Actinopteri, Gadiformes, Gadidae. The record is from RefSeq and is a predicted model, not a curated record.